This is a non-coding RNA of Megalopta genalis, 1657 nucleotides long. NCBI's taxonomy places the organism in Eukaryota, Metazoa, Arthropoda, Insecta, Hymenoptera, Halictidae. The record is from RefSeq and is a predicted model, not a curated record.
UUAACGAACGAGAGCACCUACGAAUGCUGUCCUAAACAAGACAAAAGGUCGCGCUUGGCUAGGUGCACAUUUCAGAACUUUUCAUCACCGGCGACGAACGUGGAGCUUGAAACGAACAUUCCCGUUGUUCGGAGGAAUAGACGAGACCUAAGACCGAUCACUUGACGAAGACACUGACGACACGGUGGAUACGAGCAACCCCCGGGACAGCUCCUAGUACCGGGCGGUGCUUGGGCCCGGUGGUGGUGUUUUUGGGACAGAAUGCUGUUCGAUCUCUGAACACCGUUCUAUGUCGUACCUCAGUGUCUUAGCCGUGGAAUCACACGCGACGUACGGGCCUCAUUUUCCGAAUCCCGUCAGCCAUUUACAACCAUGGGGGCCCCGCCACGGUCGGUCGCUCCGAAACACACAAUCGCGGCGCGGCAAAAUUCUAUCCCGGGAACUCAGGACGACGACACGCCGGCACGCAUGCAGCCGUAACGAUCACGCCGUCGCCUGGGCACCCACGUCGGCCACCCUCAGGAUCACCACACGCCCUUAGUCAUGGACAUCACCGCGGCGAACUCUUUGCACUUUCAUUGUGUCCCUUGAAAAUUCGAAUGAGCACCGUCCGCCAUGUUCGGGGAAACACUUGCUAGAGACUACGUUGAUCAAAGAAGCUACUGCGGUGGCAGUGCUCCCCAUAGGGAUGUCUAACGAAAUAGAAAGUCCCACUUCAUAUUCGCACGAAACUUCUUCUACGAUAUCUGACAUAAUCUACGGGAUCGGUACAGAAAUGUGUGCAACAGUUUGAAAUCAUUAGCUUCUUUUACGAAGAAUAAUUACAUCGAACAAGUGCUGCAGUUAUAAAUAUUUUGUUGAAACGAAAUAUUUUCAAUAUAAAUGAAAUUGUUGUAGUUCGCAGCUUUAAGUUUACUUUAUUUUCAAAUAGGAAGUGAUAGUUGUAUGGAGAAUAUGGAAGCAAGCAUGUACAUUUCACGUGAUUAUUCUGUCAAUAAUGUUGUUUAGAAUACGUGCAAAAAUGUAGCAUGUAGAGGGCACCUGAAUUUUGAUGUACGGUCAUGGUCGUUAGCUGGACGACCUAUUGUGGUGCAGCCAUAAUAUAAACAAUUCGUGAUGAGACAGACAGAGAUUCAGCUGUAACACGAUAAUUAGUUACGAUUAAGCGGCACGUUCCAUUAGAAUAACACAGAUGAGGCUCGCCAUUUUGGAAUACAAAAUACAUUUAUUUUUCAAACAAAAUAAAAGAAGAAUUUCAUAUUGCAUACAUGCUUGCAUAUUUGCAUUUUAAAAGGAAAUAUCAGAGAAAAAGGAAAGGACGAUAAACUAAAUAAAUAAAGUAUUUAUUUUCACAAAAUAUAAGUUUGGGAAAUGUGACAACAGCAACGUCGAAAGGUUACAAUAAAUAAUUACAAGAUUAUUUAAACAUUGGAAGCAUAAUUUUUGGUCAUAUAAAAUUCAUUUUGUACCAUAUAAAUUUAUUACGAAUGUGACUUUUUUGGUUUACGAUUGUAACUUUUGUACAUUCAAUUUAAUAUUAUGCAAUUAAAAUAGAAAAUUGUUUAUAAAUGUAUUUAAUAAUACAGGAAAUUUGUACAUUUUGUUGUAAUUAUAAUUUUGUAUAUAGAAACAUCGGUGAAAUACAGAAUCCCGAGUA